UCGUCGUUUCGUCCAAUCAAAACUCAACGUGGUAGUAGGGGAAAUAGUUUGACGUGUGCCAUAAACAUGAUCGUCUGCAAUCUAGGCCGCCGCUGAUUCGUCGACGAAGAAGGCUCGUCCGUGACUGUGACGUAGGAAUCGUCAUUAGAUAUGACCUUCCUCAUCUCCAGCUGUUUCUUCCUUUAUUUCUGUCUUUCUUCCUUCUUUAUCUUGUACAUUUUUCGACAGGUGAAUACAACGCUUGCGCGCUAAUUCUCUCUCCUCCCUUCCUUCCUUUUCUUACGUGUCAUAUGCUUGCUUAUAUACUUUUUUCUCCUCCGUGCAUCGGAUGUAUCUCAACCGUUUCGAUGAACUCAUUUAUUCGAGUUUGUUGAACUUUAAAUAUAAUACAGCUAGAAAUCAUACGACAUUGAUUUCUUUUACAAUCCUAAACGAUCUUACUGCUAAUGUUUAUUUCUAAUCAUUCAGAAUUAUUUGUUCAAUAUGUAUUCGAAAACAAAAAUUGUUUUUUUUACGUCAUCGUCGUUGUCGUCAUCGUCAUCGUCGUCACUCGAACGUGAACUUUAAACAUGGUUGAUUAAAACGUCUUAUCAAAAUGAUUAUUUAUUGCUAUUUAUUUUUUAGCGUUGAGCGAUAUGUGUCUGUUUAUUCUAAUUAGAAAUGCCUCGACGAUCAAAACUUUAUCGUAAUUUAGAUAAUCUUCCCGAACAAUUAUUGUCUUUUUCCUUUUUUAGUAAUAAUGAUUACACGAAGGUGGAGGAAAAAGUCGGAAUUACGUGCAAUUAUGACGACAUAUAGCGAUAACGUAUGCAGGAAGUACGUGUACAAAGAGUUCUUCUGUCUCUAUGCUCUUUGUCUGUUUGUGCUCUAUGCUGUUGUGUGUGUGAAUGAGAUAGGAAGAGCUAUCAAAUAGAGAUAAAAAAUAAUGUUCUAUUCUAUUAAAAAUCUUGACAUUAGGAAACUAAAUAUAAAUAAUAUUUGCAUGAAGUGAUGAAAUUUGUCCUAUCGUUUCGUCAGCCAUUUCUAAAGCCAUCGAGGUCAUCGUCUUGCGUCGUCUCCGGGCAACUGAAAAUAUGCAGCUGUUACGUGGCCAAUUAUUAUCCACGAACAGGAUACGAGUGAAAGGAACCUUUGAUCUCAUUUUAUCACAUUCUAUCUAAAAUAAAAACAACUUUCUUUGGAAA
Molecule: long non-coding RNA, 1184 nt
Filed under: Polistes fuscatus (common paper wasp)
Lineage: Eukaryota; Metazoa; Arthropoda; Insecta; Hymenoptera; Vespidae
Description: uncharacterized LOC122513148
Source: RNAcentral